UGUGCAUUCAAAAGUACGCUCGACACCGACGCAGUUCCUCCCCUUCUCUCUCUCUGUGUCUCUCUCUGUGUCUCAAUCCCUGACAAGUGCAGAUCCUCUAUGACCAUCCCCAGAGUGAGAGCUGCUGGCUCCCCACCCCGUCUCUCUCUCUCUCUCACACACACAGACACACACACACUCUCUGGGGUUUCAAAGCAGCACUCCCCCAGUGUUUCCUGCCCCCUUCCCUCCCACAACAUCCCGGGAUUCUGAGCCGCAGGUAUUGAUCGAACUCUCCCAGAAUGAGGGCUCAGAAAAUGCCCUUGGACUUCGGUGGAGAGGAAGCAGCAAAAGCCUUCCCGAGUAGACUUUUAACGGCUGUUGUGAUCGGUUGUGUUAUAUUUCAAGCUAAUGAAGCCAUUGAAGUUCACAUUGGAAAAUUGUCAACGAUUGUGGUACUGAACGGCACUGAUGUCGAGUUGCCCUGUACGUUCGCUAGUUGCAUGGACUUCAAAGACUCCAUCUUCUGGUGGACAUUUCAGAAAAACCAAACGAGUGAAGAAUCGAAAAUUAUUCAUAUUAAACUAAAAGAUAAGACACCCCACAUCUUUCCAUCUGAGGAGUAUGACAGAGUUACAUUUAUUGGGAAUAUUAAAGAGAAGAAUAUUUCCCUUUUGCUUGCAGACGUGGAUUUUGAGGAUAAUGGAUUCUAUACUUGUUACUUCAAAAACCCACAGGAAAAGAAUCAAGAGGCGAAUGCGUCUCUUCAACUAAGGGUUGUCAGUGAAUUGGUAAAAGUGGACAACACAGUGACAGUGAUCAUCCUGGCUGUUAUCGGAGGGUUAAUAGGACUCAUCAUUCUAAUAUUUAUUAUUAAAAAGCUUGUAAUGUUUAUAAUUAAGCGAGUUGGAAAGAAGAAGUAAGUAAGAUGAAAAAAUGCAGAACAUUAUAAUAUUUUUUAAAAAUGCAUCUUAAAGCAAAACUUUGCAGCUAACAGUUACUAGAAUGAGAAGAUGCACUAACUGAUUAACUGUAACGUGCUCCAAUAUACCUCGCACCACUCACUAGUUUGUGCCUAUGAUUUGAUCAUGUAGCUCUGCUUUAUUUUGAUUAAAAAUAACGUUCAGCUGUUGUUCAGUCAGUAGAAGUUAGCAAUAACACAGGUGUGAUGUGCCGAAAAGCUUCCAUCCAUCCAGUUCUAUGUAGAGAGAGAAUUUAACUCUGAUUACUUAAGAGAUAUCAAGGACUGAACAAUCUGCAAUGUUUACUGUUGGAUACUUCACUGAUUCUAUGCAAGUAAGAAUAAUAAGUUUCUUCAUAUGAUCACUACAAAGAUUAUUCAUGUCUGAGGUUUAGGCUUUUUAAUGGAAAAGUCUAUCUAAUGUGACACAAUUUAUUUCAAUGUUGAAUUAUAGUCCAUACUUGGCAAGGAUUUGACCUUCAAACAGAAUAAUGAGGAUUGAUUGUAAUGCUUCCUGUUAAUAUUGAGAGCCAUGUUAUUUUAGAAUCCAGGCAUAAAAGCCUUACCUGAUCAGGUAGCAUCUCAAUUGUUGUGUUUAAGCUGUUUCUUCCAGUACAUCAUUCGGGAUUUGAGGCUUGUGAACAAACUCCUUUCUCUGAUCACUCGCUGACAUGUUCCUUGUGCAUUUCUAGUCCAUUGAGGCUAUUGGGUCAGUCUCAGAUUUCCUGCUCCUGUGAUAGGGUUAGAGUUAGUUCUGGUGCAAUCUUUUUCACCCUCUACUGUGCUCGCCCACCACCUCUCACCCACAUCAUCACAACCACCCCCAUCCCCCAGCAAACCCCUCCCUUUGAAUGUCGAGUCUUGGGUAAUAAUGGAGUAAAUAAUUUACUUGCUUAAUGAUUGGACAUCAUUUUGUGUCUGACACAAGCAGCCAUGUCCCAUCAGAUGAUGGAAUCUUCCUGUGCCAAAGUCACGCCAGUUUGAAUUCUGACUUCCUUCCUCAUCCAAUACCUCAGUUGUAAUUCCAUCCCUCUUGUUAAUUUAUCCCAUUUUAAUACUUUUUUUCUGCUUGAACCUCUCUCUCUCUCCCCCAUGCCUCACUGGACACCACACACACCUGAGAGGGCGUAUGUUCAAGACUCGCCCUAGGGACCUGAGCACAACACCUGCACUGAGGGAGUGCUGCAUUGUCACAGGAGCUGUCUUCUGGAUACGGUGUUAACCCAAGGUCCUAUCUACCUCACGGGAAGGAGUGCCUGGUAAACUCCUGUGCCAACACUGAGCGUGGACAUUACGGUUCCAAAACC
Chiloscyllium plagiosum (whitespotted bambooshark) is the source of this 2247-nucleotide RNA transcript. It is a transcript of the gene named sodium channel, voltage-gated, type IV, beta a, with no coding region annotated. The record is from RefSeq and is a predicted model, not a curated record. NCBI's taxonomy places the organism in Eukaryota, Metazoa, Chordata, Chondrichthyes, Orectolobiformes, Hemiscylliidae.